Molecule: ribosomal RNA, 497 nt
Filed under: uncultured bacterium
Lineage: Bacteria
Description: partial 16S ribosomal RNA
Rfam family: Bacterial small subunit ribosomal RNA
Source: RNAcentral
GAUGAACGCUGGCGGCGUGCCUAAUACAUGCAAGUCGAGCGAACAGACGAGGAGCUUGCUCCUCUGACGUUAGCGGCGGACGGGUGAGUAACACGUGGAUAACCUACCUAUAAGACUGGGAUCACUUCGGGAAACCGGAGCUAAUACCGGAUAAUAUAUUGAACCGCAUGGUUCAAUAGUGAAAGACGGUUUUGCUGUCACUUAUAGAUGGAUCCGCGCCGCAUUAGCUAGUUGGUAAGGUAACGGCUUACCAAGGCAACGAUGCGUAGCCGACCUGAGAGGGGGGUCGGCCACACUGGAACUGAGACACGGUCCAGACUCCUACGGGAGGCAGCAGUAGGGAAUCUUCCGCAAAGGGCGAAAGCUUGACGGAGCAACGCCGCGUGAGUGAUGAAGGUCUUCGGAUCGUAAAACUCUGUUAUUAGGGAAGAACAAAUGUGUAAGUAACUAUGCACGUCUUGACGGUACCUAAUCAGAAAGCCACGGCUAACUACGUG